AUGAGCUUUCUACUACUAAUAUUGAAUAUAUCAUUGCAAAAUGAAACUAUUUUCAUCGACAACAUGGUUUUAGUGGGUCUUUGCGCCAUUUGGCGCAACGGGUCAACUAGUUUUCAUCAGAAACAGAACUAUUUUCCUCGAUUGAGGGGUUGGCACUUGAGGGAGUCCUGGAUAAGGGGGUAUCCAGGCAGCCGGACUAUAUACAUCGUCCGGACUAUAGAAGCGUCAAGAUACAAGACUCAAGACUUCGGCUCGUGUCCGGAUGGGACUCUCCUUUGUGUGGAAGACAAGCUUGGCAACACGGAUAUUAUGUUUCCUUCCUUGUAA
This 327-nucleotide ribosomal RNA is filed under the name Triticum aestivum (bread wheat). Its description in RNAcentral is "partial small subunit ribosomal RNA". Lineage: Eukaryota; Viridiplantae; Streptophyta; Magnoliopsida; Poales; Poaceae. The record is from RNAcentral.